This 1378-nucleotide long non-coding RNA is filed under the name Bos indicus x Bos taurus (hybrid cattle). RNAcentral's name for it is "lncRNA (ENSBIXG00005016999.1)". Lineage: Eukaryota; Metazoa; Chordata; Mammalia; Artiodactyla; Bovidae. The record is from RNAcentral.
AGUCCCUUGGACCGCAAGGAGAUCCAACCAGUCCAUUCUGAAGGAGAUCAGCCCUGGGAUUUCUUUGGAGGGAAUGAUGCUAAAGCUGAAACACCAGUACUUUGGCCACCUCACGUGAAGAGUUGACUCAUUGGAAAAGACUGAUGCUGGGAGGGAUUGGGGGCAGGAGGAGAAGGGGACGACAGAGGAUGAGAUGGCUGGAUGGCAUCACUGAUUCGAUGGAUGUGAGUCUGAGUGAACUCUGGGAGUUGGUGAUGGACAGGGAGGCCUGGCGUGCUGCGAUUCAUGGGGUCGCAAAGAGUCGGACAUGACUGAGUGACUAAACUGAACUGAACUACUGUAUAUAAAGCAGAUAACCAAUGAGGACUACCCCUACCCCCGUAUAGCACAGGGAACUAUAUUCAAUAAUAUACAUACACACACACACACACAUAUGUAUGCAUGCAUGCUCAUGCUCAGUCACUUCAGUUGUGUCCGACUCUUUGUGACCCCGUGAACAGUAGCCGCCAGGCUCCUCUCUCCAUGGGAUUUCCCAGGCAAGAAUACUGAAGUUGGUUGCCAUUUCUUCCUCCAGGGGAUCUUCCCGACCUAAGGACUGAAAUUGCAAAUCCUGCAUUGCAGGCAGAUUCUUUACCACCUGAGCCAGCAGGGAAGCCCACAUAUAUAUGUAUACACAUGUUGUUGCUGUUCAGUUGCUCAGUCAUGUCUGACUCUUUGUGACCCCGUGGACUUCAGCACGCCAGGCUUCCCGGUCCUUCAGUGUCUCCUGCAGUUUGCGCAACGUCCACUGAAUCGAUGAUGACAUCCAACCAUCUCAUCCUCUGUCGCCACCUCUCCUCCUUGCACAAAACCAUCGUGGGAAGGCCUGGGGGAAGAAAUGACACCUAACUCAUGGUCAUGGUCAUUCUCCACCUUGGUGAAGCAUCAACUGGGACAUUUAAACCUCUGAACCUCAGUUUCCUUUCUGUAGAGAUGCAUCAGAAUGUCUCAGUGGAGGAUGCCCAUUGGAACCACACUGGUCUUUCCACGGGCACAGAGUACGCUGGCCGUGUUUGUACAGCUCUGCAGAGAGAUAGUCGUGGAAGCCUGCUGUAUAGAAACUGACCCUGUGACGGUGAACCGGAGCCCAGGGGGUGGCCAGCUACUUCCUCCCCUUUGAGAGUUUCUGGCAUUUGGCAGAUUUUCUCUUAAACUCCUUUCCCCAGCGUGGCCUGGUUCCUUUGUUGCCUUAUUUGGAGUGCAUACCAGCUAUUGUGGAGUAAUAAUACAGGAGGAGAAAUCAAUUCCCUCCUGGGCCCUUUAUGGAGCCUUCAAGCUCACUGGGGGCGGGCCCUGCACUUUUCAGACUCAGGUAUGUUUUUUGGCACGUUAAGGACUG